RNAcentral lists this ribosomal RNA (404 nucleotides) under Thoracosphaeraceae sp. Its description in RNAcentral is "partial small subunit ribosomal RNA". It matches the Rfam family "Eukaryotic small subunit ribosomal RNA", at positions 30 to 432 of the family's 1831-position model. Lineage: Eukaryota; Dinophyceae; Thoracosphaerales; Thoracosphaeraceae. The record is from RNAcentral.
GCUUGUCUCAAAGAUUAAGCCAUGCAUGUCUAAGUAUAAACAACUUUAUACUGUGAAACUGCGUACAGCUCAUUAUAUCAGUUAUAAUUUAUUUGAUGGUGAUUUACUACAUGGAUAACCGUGGUAAUUCUAGAGCUAAUACAUGCACCCAAACCCGACUCCGUGGAAGGGUUGUGAUUAUUAGUUACAGAACCAUCCCAGGCUCGCCUGGUCGUGUGGUGAUUCAUAGUAACCCAACGAAUCGAAUGGCACUCGCCGUCGAUGCAUCAUUCAAGUUUCUGACCUAUCAGCUUCCGACGGUAGGGUAUUGGCCUACCGUGGCAAUGACGGGUAACGGAGAAUUAGGGUUCGAUUCCGGAGAGGGAGCCUGAGAAACGGCUACCACAUCUAAGGAAGGCAGCAGG